GGGCGAGUGGUGAAAUUGGUAUACACAAGGGACUUAAAAUCCCUCGGCGCAAGCCAUACCGGUUCGAGUCCGGUCUCGCCCACCA
Molecule: transfer RNA, 85 nt
Filed under: Burkholderiales bacterium
Lineage: Bacteria; Pseudomonadati; Pseudomonadota; Betaproteobacteria; Burkholderiales
Also listed under: 2 other names
Description: tRNA-Leu
Rfam family: tRNA
About the family: Transfer RNA (tRNA) molecules are approximately 80 nucleotides in length.
Source: RNAcentral